This 832-nucleotide non-coding RNA is filed under the name Pan troglodytes (chimpanzee). The record is from RNAcentral. Lineage: Eukaryota; Metazoa; Chordata; Mammalia; Primates; Hominidae.
GCGGAAGGUGGGGUGUGGGGCCGGAAGACCCUCCCCCGGCGUCUUCAGAGGAGCGCUGUUUUUGGAGGAGUUAGGGGAAGGAGGCUGCCUGGUAAGCCAGGAAAGGGGCUUCUGGCCGUUCUGUUGGAGCGCCUCUGACUGACUUCCCCCAUGUGUCCGUGUGGCCACACCGUGCUACUUUCAGAGGCAGUGGGCUUUUCGCUAAGGGAUAAAAAGAAGUAAAACCUUGCCUUUAGCGCAGCUCUCCUUCACUGGGCAGAUUGCUCUCCCUCCCCACUCUCCCAGGCCCAAAUUGGAUCUCAGCGCCUGGGAGCUCCAACUUUAGCAAGUGCGAAAUCCUGUCUUCGGUUUUGGAAUUUUCAUCCGCACAGACUAUAUCAGCCACGGAUAGGAUAUGUGAGAAUACCAGCAUGUCAAGGCUGGGAAUCAUCCUUAGGCAUCACCUAGCCAGUCCUGCCUCUCAUUUUAAGAUGCAGAGUGUUCAUAUGAGGAGAGACUUUCCCUUGUCUCUGUCAUCUGUGAUUUCACUUCCCUGACAGAAGACGAAGCUUCCAUCUCAGAUGUUUUCUUAAAUGAUGAAACAGCAUACGCCUCUGUUCUUGUCAGCUCAGGGAAAACAGAUCUGGGGACCUCUUCAUCUCUGCGUUGGGAAGCAUAGGUGGUAUAAUCCCCUCCUGUCACGUCCAACGUUGCAUAGUCAGAAGCUUCGCCCUUGUAGUUGGUGCACACAGCACGGUGAUCACAGGAUCUGGUUUGCCACUGAAAGGAAUCUUGAUGCUGACCACUUCACCUCGGAGAGCAUGAACUGCUCCCAUGCCUUCAAGAGUUUUAG